RNAcentral lists this ribosomal RNA (302 nucleotides) under Blastocystis sp. subtype 22. RNAcentral's name for it is "SSU rRNA". It matches the Rfam family "Eukaryotic small subunit ribosomal RNA", at positions 51 to 369 of the family's 1831-position model. Lineage: Eukaryota; Bigyra; Opalinata; Blastocystidae. The record is from RNAcentral.
GUGAAUGCUGUGUAGUGUAAUUGUUAAGUUUGGAACUGCGAAUGGCUCAUUAUAUCAGUUAUAGUUUAUUUGGUGAAGUGUACUACUUGGAUAACCGUAGUAAUUCUAGGGCUAAUACAUGAGAAAGUCCUCUGGUGAGGUGUGUUUAUUAGAAUGAAAACCAUAUGCUUCGGCAUGAUAGUGAGUAAUAGUAACCUAUCGUAUCGCAUGCUUAAUGUAGCGAUGAGUCUUUCAAGUUUCUGCCCUAUCAGCUUUCGAUGGUAGUAUAUGGGCCUACCAUGGCAGUAACGGGUAACGAAGAA